UAGUAGUAUUGAGUUUGUCUUGAACAACGUCAUUCACUUGAUGACAAUCUGAUUCCAUAUGUUUAGUUCUCUUACGAAAUAUCAGAUUUGCAGUUAUAUGGUAUUAUUGAACAUUGAGUAGGAUCUUAAGUGGUAUAUAGAAUAUGAGCCUCUCCACUCAUUGCCAAUUGAUUUUGAGUGGAGAUGCUUAUAUCUUAUAUAUAUCACUUAGAUCCUACUCAAGUUUCAAUGUGGGACAAUAUCCCUAAUACUUACAUUUUCAU
This 263-nucleotide small RNA is filed under the name Arabidopsis thaliana (thale cress). RNAcentral's name for it is "ATSL192140". The record is from RNAcentral. Lineage: Eukaryota; Viridiplantae; Streptophyta; Magnoliopsida; Brassicales; Brassicaceae.